GGCCGACUAGCUCAGUUGGUUAGAGUGUCGUGCUAAUAUCUAUAAGUGAUGGUGGAAUAUUAACGCGAAGGUCUUGGGUUCGAUCCCCACGUUGGCCA
This 98-nucleotide transfer RNA is filed under the name Armillaria gallica. RNAcentral describes it as "tRNA-Ile". It matches the Rfam family "tRNA". Rfam says of the family: Transfer RNA (tRNA) molecules are approximately 80 nucleotides in length. Their secondary structure includes four short double-helical elements and three loops (D, anti-codon, and T loops). Lineage: Eukaryota; Fungi; Basidiomycota; Agaricomycetes; Agaricales; Physalacriaceae. The record is from RNAcentral.